CCCUUAGAUGUUCUGGGCCGCACGCGUGCUACACUGAGUGGAUCAGCGGGUCAGGUUGCGCGAAAGCGUUUCCUAAUCUUUAAAUCCGCUCGUGAUGGGAAUUGACGGUUGCAAUUUUCUGUCAUGAACGAGGAAUACCUUGUAAGCGCGGGUCAUCAUCCCGCGCUGAAUACGUCCCUGCCCUUUGUACACACCGCCCGUCGCUCCUACCGAUUGAGUGGUCCGGUGAGGCUUUGGGAUCUGAGCGGAAAGAGCGUUUCGCUGUUUCUGCUCGGAAAACUCAGUCGAACCUUAUCAUUUAGAGGAAGGAGAAGUCGUAACA
Molecule: ribosomal RNA, 322 nt
Filed under: uncultured eukaryote
Lineage: Eukaryota
Description: partial 18S ribosomal RNA
Rfam family: Eukaryotic small subunit ribosomal RNA
Source: RNAcentral